GACGAACGCUGGCGGCGUGCUUAACACAUGCAAGUCGAACGAUGAAGAAAAGAAUUGAAGCUUCGGCAGAAAUUCAUUUCGGAUCAGUGGCAGACGGGUGAGUAACGCGUGAGCAACCUACCUCUUACAAAGGGAUAGCCUCGGGAAACCGGGAUUAAUACCAUAUAACAUUGCGACGAAGCAUUUCGAUGCAAUCAAAGCUACGGCGGUAAGAGAUGGGCUCGCGUCAGAUUAACCAGAUGGUGAGGUAACGGCUCACCAUAGUAACGAUGGGUAACCGGCCGGAGAGGCGGAACGGUCACACUGGAACUGAGACACGGUCCAGACUCCGACGGGAGGCAGCAGUGGGGAAUAUUGCACAAGGGAGGGAACUCUGAUGCAGCGACGCCGCGGGAGUGAUGAAGGAAGUCGUAUCGUAAAACUCUGUGCUAUGGGAAGAAAAGGACUGUACCAUAGGAGAAAGCUCCGGCUAAAUACGUG
RNAcentral lists this ribosomal RNA (480 nucleotides) under uncultured bacterium. Its description in RNAcentral is "partial 16S ribosomal RNA". It matches the Rfam family "Bacterial small subunit ribosomal RNA", at positions 28 to 507 of the family's 1533-position model. The record is from RNAcentral.